This 429-nucleotide unclassified non-coding RNA is filed under the name soil metagenome. RNAcentral's name for it is "partial contains 5.8S ribosomal RNA, internal transcribed spacer 2, and large subunit ribosomal RNA". The stretch from base 1 to 120 matches the Rfam family "5.8S ribosomal RNA", at positions 35 to 154 of the family's 154-position model. The record is from RNAcentral.
GAUGAAGAACGUAGCGAAAUGCGAUACGUAAUGUGAAUUGCAGAAUUCAGUGAAUCAUCGAAUCUUUGAACGCAUAUUGCGCUCUCUGGUAUUCCGGAGAGCAUGCUUGUUUGAGUAUCAGUAAACACCUCAACUCUUUUUUCUUUUUUGAAAUUGGAGCUGGACUUGAGUGAUCCCAACGCUUUCUUCCAAGAAAGUGGCGGGUUGCUUGAAAUGCAGGUGCAGCUGAACUUUUCUCUGAGCUAUAAGCAUAUCUAUUUAGUCUGCCUAAAAAACAGAUUAUUACCUUUGCUGCAGCUAACAUAAAGGAGACUAGUUCUUGUGCUGACUGAUGCAGGAUUCACAGAGACAGCUUCGGCUGACUUUGUAAACUCGAUCUCAAAUCAAGUAAGACUACCCGCUGAACUUAAGCAUAUCAAUAAGCGAGGA